This 30-nucleotide non-coding RNA is filed under the name Cricetulus griseus (Chinese hamster). The record is from RNAcentral. Lineage: Eukaryota; Metazoa; Chordata; Mammalia; Rodentia; Cricetidae.
CAGAGGACUCCCUGGAAGUCCGACGCCAGA